CUGGCGGCGUGCCUAAUACAUGCAAGUCGAACGGUCUUUCUAUGGAAGCUUGCUUCCACUGAGAAGAUAGUGGCGAACGGGUGAGUAACACGUGGGUAACCUGCCCAUAAGAGGGGGAUAACAUCCGGAAACGGGUGCUAAUACCGCAUAGUUUUUCUUGAUCGCAUGAUUGAGAAAGGAAAGAUGGCCUUUGUGCUGUCGCUUAUGGAUGGACCCGCGGCGUAUUAGUUAGUUGGUGAGGUAACGGCUCACCAAGACGAUGAUACGUAGCCGACCUGAGAGGGUGAUCGGCCACAUUGGGACUGAGACACGGCCCAAACUCCUACGGGAGGCAGCAGUAGGGAAUCUUCCGCAAUGGACGAAAGUCUGACGGAGCAACGCCGCGUGAGUGAAAGAAGGUUUUCGGAUCGUAAAACUCUGUUGUCAGAGAAGAACAAGUUGGAGAGUAACUGCUCCAGCCUUGACGGUAUCUGACCAGAAAGCCACGGCUAACUACGUGCCAGCCGCCGC
RNAcentral lists this ribosomal RNA (510 nucleotides) under uncultured bacterium. RNAcentral describes it as "bacterial SSU rRNA". It matches the Rfam family "Bacterial small subunit ribosomal RNA", at positions 36 to 518 of the family's 1533-position model. The record is from RNAcentral.